UACGUAGGUGGCGAGCGUUAAUCGGAAUCACUGGGCGUAAAGCGCACGUAGGUGGCUAAGUAAGUCACAUGUGAAAGCCCUCGGCUCAACCGGGGAACUGCGUGUGAUACUGCCUUGCUUGAGUCCUGGAGAGGGUGGCGGAAUUCCCGGUGUAGGAGUGAAAUCCGUAGAUAUCGGGAGGAACACCAGUGGCGAAGGCGGCCACCUGGACAGGAACUGGCGCUGAGGUGCGAAAGUGUGGGGAGCAAAC
This 250-nucleotide ribosomal RNA is filed under the name uncultured bacterium. Its description in RNAcentral is "partial 16S ribosomal RNA". It matches the Rfam family "Bacterial small subunit ribosomal RNA", at positions 524 to 773 of the family's 1533-position model. The record is from RNAcentral.